GAUGAACGCUCGCUACAGGCUUAACACAUGCAAGUCGAGGGGAAACGCCAUCGAAAGCUUGCUUUUGAUGGGCGUCGACCGGCGCACGGGUGGGUAACGCGUAUCCCACCUGCUCAUCACUUGGGAAUAACCUUGCGAAUGUAAGACUAAUACCCAAUGACAUCCCACGAAGACAUCUGAAUGGGAUUAAAGAUUUGUCGGUGCUGGCUGGGGAUGGGUCUGAUUAGCUUGUUGGCGGGGUACCUGCCCACCAAGGAAACGAUCAGUAGGGGUUCUGAGGGGAAGGUCCCCCACAAUGGAACUGAGACACGUGCCAAACUCCUACGGGAGGCAGCCGUGCGGAAUAUUGGAGUAGGGACGAGAGCCUAAUCCAGCCAAGUAGCGUGCAGGAUGACGGCCCUAUGGGUUGUAAACUGCUGUUAUAAGGGAAUAAAGUGGGUCUCGUGAGACUUUUUGCAUGUACCUUAUGAAUAAGCACCGGCUAAUUCCGUG
RNAcentral lists this ribosomal RNA (492 nucleotides) under uncultured bacterium. RNAcentral's name for it is "partial 16S ribosomal RNA". It matches the Rfam family "Bacterial small subunit ribosomal RNA", at positions 28 to 507 of the family's 1533-position model. The record is from RNAcentral.